CUACGGGGGGCAGCAGUGGGGAAUCUUAGACAAUGGGGGAAACCCUGAUCUAGCCAUGCCGCGUGAGCGACGACGGCCCUAGGGUUGUAAAGCUCUUUCAGCAGGGCAGAUAAUGACGGUACCUGCAGAAGAAGUCCCGGCUAACUCCGUGCCAGCAGCCGCGGUAAUACGGAGGGGACUAGCGUUGUUCGGAAUUACUGGGCGUAAAGCGCGCGUAGGCGGAUUGUUAAGUCGGGGGUGAAAUCCCGGGGCUCAACACCGGAACUGCCCUCGAUACUGGCAGUCUUGAGUUCGAGAGAGGUGAGUGGAAUUCCGAGUGUAGAGGUGAAAUUCGUAGAUAUUCGGAGGAACACCAGUGGCGAUGGCAGCUCACGGGCUCGAUACUGACGCUGAGGUGCGAAAGCGUGGGGAGCAAACAGGAUUAGAUACCCGAGUAGUC
This 439-nucleotide ribosomal RNA is filed under the name uncultured bacterium. Its description in RNAcentral is "partial 16S ribosomal RNA". It matches the Rfam family "Bacterial small subunit ribosomal RNA", at positions 339 to 795 of the family's 1533-position model. The record is from RNAcentral.